GUAUUGUGCAGGUGUGAGGGCAGUAUUGUGUAUAGUGUGCAGGUGUGAGGGCAGUAUUGUGUAUAGUGUGCAGGUGUGAGAGCAGGUAUUGUGCAGGUGUGAGGGCAGUAUUGUGUAUAGUGUGCAGGUGUGAGAGCAGGUAUUGUGCAGGUGUGAGGGCAGUAUUGUGUAUAGUGUGCAGGUGUGAGAGCAGGUAUUGUGCAGGUGUGAGGGCAGUAUUGUGUAUAGUGUGCAGGUGUGAGAGCAGGUAUUGUGCAGGUGUGAGGGCAGUAUUGUGUAUAGUGUGCAGGUGUGAGAGCAGGUAUU
Alosa sapidissima (American shad) is the source of this 306-nucleotide long non-coding RNA. RefSeq lists it as uncharacterized. The record is from RefSeq and is a predicted model, not a curated record. The transcript is spliced from 3 exons. NCBI's taxonomy places the organism in Eukaryota, Metazoa, Chordata, Actinopteri, Clupeiformes, Clupeidae.